This 1082-nucleotide ribosomal RNA is filed under the name Staphylococcus sp. PM-EG04. RNAcentral describes it as "bacterial SSU rRNA". It matches the Rfam family "Bacterial small subunit ribosomal RNA", at positions 49 to 1110 of the family's 1533-position model. The record is from RNAcentral. Lineage: Bacteria; Bacillati; Bacillota; Bacilli; Caryophanales; Staphylococcaceae.
CUAUACAUGCAGUCGAGCGAACAGAUAAGGAGCUUGCUCCUUUGACGUUAGCGGCGGACGGGUGAGUAACACGUGGAUAACCUACCUAUAAGACUGGGAUAACUUCGGGAAACCGGAGCUAAUACCGGAUAACAUAUUGAACCGCAUGGUUCAAUAGUGAAAGGCGGCUUUGCUGUCACUUAUAGAUGGAUCCGCGCCGUAUUAGCUAGUUGGUAAGGUAACGGCUUACCAAGGCAACGAUACGUAGCCGACCUGAGAGGGUGAUCGGCCACACUGGAACUGAGACACGGUCCAGACUCCUACGGGAGGCAGCAGUAGGGAAUCUUCCGCAAUGGGCGAAAGCCUGACGGAGCAACGCCGCGUGAGUGAUGAAGGUCUUCGGAUCGUAAAACUCUGUUAUCAGGGAAGAACAAAUGUGUAAGUAACUGUGCACAUCUUGACGGUACCUGAUCAGAAAGCCACGGCUAACUACGUGCCAGCAGCCGCGGUAAUACGUAGGUGGCAAGCGUUAUCCGGAAUUAUUGGGCGUAAAGCGCGCGUAGGCGGUUUUUUAAGUCUGAUGUGAAAGCCCACGGCUCAACCGUGGAGGGUCAUUGGAAACUGGAAAACUUGAGUGCAGAAGAGGAAAGUGGAAUUCCAUGUGUAGCGGUGAAAUGCGCAGAGAUAUGGAGGAACACCAGUGGCGAAGGCGACUUUCUGGUCUGUAACUGACGCUGAUGUGCGAAAGCGUGGGGAUCAAACAGGAUUAGAUACCCUGGUAGUCCACGCCGUAAACGAUGAGUGCUAAGUGUUAGGGGGUUUCCGCCCCUUAGUGCUGCAGCUAACGCAUUAAGCACUCCGCCUGGGGAGUACGACCGCAAGGUUGAAACUCAAAGGAAUUGACGGGGACCCGCACAAGCGGUGGAGCAUGUGGUUUAAUUCGAAGCAACGCGAAGAACCUUACCAAAUCUUGACAUCCUUUGACCGCUCUAGAGAUAGAGUCUUCCUCUUCGGGGGACAAAGUGACAGGUGGUGCAUGGUUGUCGUCAGCUCGUGUCGUGAGAUGUUGGGGUUAAGUCCCGCAACGAGCCGCACCCUUAGCU